CUCCUACGGGAGGCAGCAGUGGGGAAUAUUGCACAAUGGGCGAAAGCCUGAUGCAGCAACGCCGCGUGAAGGAAGAAGGGUUUCGGCUCGUAAACUUCUAUCAACAGGGACGAAAGAAAUGACGGUACCUGAAUAAGAAGCCCCGGCUAACUACGUGCCAGCAGCCGCGGUAAUACGUAGGGGGCAAGCGUUAUCCGGAUUUACUGGGUGUAAAGGGAGCGUAGGGGGCAGGGCAAGUCAGAUGUGAAAACUCGGGGCUCAACUCCGGGAGUGCAUUUGAAACUGUCCAGCUAGAGUGCAG
Molecule: ribosomal RNA, 301 nt
Filed under: uncultured bacterium
Lineage: Bacteria
Description: bacterial SSU rRNA
Rfam family: Bacterial small subunit ribosomal RNA
Source: RNAcentral